GAAUGCUGACAUAAGUAACGAUAAAGCGGGUGAAAAGCCCGCUCGCCGGAAGACCAAGGGUUCCUGUCCAACGUUAAUCGGGGCAGGGUGAGUCGACCCCUAAGGCGAGGCCGAAAGGCGUAGUCGAUGGGAAACAGGUUAAUAUUCCUGUACUUGGUGUUACUGCGAAGGGGGGACGGAGAAGGCUAUGUUGGCCGGGCGACGGUUGUCCCGGUUUAAGCGUGUAGGCUGGUUUUCCAGGCAAAUCCGGAAAAUCAAGGCUGAGGCGUGAUGACGAGGCACUACGGUGCUGAAGCGACAAAUGCCCUGCUUCCAGGAAAAGCCUCUAAGCAUCAGGUAACAUCAAAUCGUACCCCAAACCGACACAGGUGGUCAGGUAGAGAAUACCAAGGCGCUUGAGAGAACUCGGGUGAAGGAACUAGGCAAAAUGGUGCCGUAACUUCGGGAGAAGGCACGCUGAUAUGUAGGUGAAGCGACUUGCUCGUGGAGCUGAAAUCAGUCGAAGAUACCAGCUGGCUGCAACUGUUUAUUAAAAACACAGCACUGUGCAAACACGAAAGUGGACGUAUACGGUGUGACGCCUGCCCGGUGCCGGAAGGUUAAUUGAUGGGGUUAGCGGUAACGCGAAGCUCUUGAUCGAAGCCCCGGUAAACGGCGGCCGUAACUAUAACGGUCCUAAGGUAGCGAAAUUCCUUGUCGGGUAAGUUCCGACCUGCACGAAUGGCGUAAUGAUGGCCAGGCUGUCUCCACCCGAGACUCAGUGAAAUUGAACUCGCUGUGAAGAUGCAGUGUACCCGCGGCAAGACGGAAAGACCCCGUGAACCUUUACUAUAGCUUGACACUGAACAUUGAGCCUUGAUGUGUAGGAUAGGUGGGAGGCUUUGAAGUGUGGACGCCAGUCUGCAUGGAGCCGACCUUGAAAUACCACCCUUUAAUGUUUGAUGUUCUAACGUGGGCCCCUUACCGGGGUUGCGGACAGUGUCUGGUGGGUAGUUUGACUGGGGCGGUCUCCUCCUAAAGAGUAACGGAGGAGCACGAAGGUUGGCUAAUCCUGGUCGGACAUCAGGAGGUUAGUGCAAUGGCAUAAGCCAGCUUGACUGCGAGCGUGACGGCGCGAGCAGGUGCGAAAGCAGGUCAUAGUGAUCCGGUGGUUCUGAAUGGAAGGGCCAUCGCUCAACGGAUAAAAGGUACUCCGGGGAUAACAGGCUGAUACCGCCCAAGAGUUCAUAUCGACGGCGGUGUUUGGCACCUCGAUGUCGGCUCAUCACAUCCUGGGGCUGAAGUAGGUCCCAAGGGUAUGGCUGUUCGCCAUUUAAAGUGGUACGCGAGCUGGGUUUAGAACGUCGUGAGACAGUUCGGUCCCUAUCUGCCGUGGGCGCUGGAGAACUGAGGGGGGCUGCUCCUAGUACGAGAGGACCGGAGUGGACGCAUCACUGGUGUUCGGGUUGUCAUGCCAAUGGCACUGCCCGGUAGCUAAAUGCGGAAGAGAUAAGUGCUGAAAGCAUCUAAGCACGAAACUUGCCCCGAGAUGAGUUCUCCCUGACUCCUUGAGAGUC
RNAcentral lists this ribosomal RNA (1556 nucleotides) under Escherichia coli. Its description in RNAcentral is "partial 23S ribosomal RNA". It matches the Rfam family "Bacterial large subunit ribosomal RNA", at positions 1292 to 2827 of the family's 2925-position model. The record is from RNAcentral. Lineage: Bacteria; Pseudomonadati; Pseudomonadota; Gammaproteobacteria; Enterobacterales; Enterobacteriaceae.